Molecule: ribosomal RNA, 303 nt
Filed under: uncultured bacterium
Lineage: Bacteria
Description: partial 16S ribosomal RNA
Rfam family: Bacterial small subunit ribosomal RNA
Source: RNAcentral
AGCAGCCGCCGCGGUAAUACGAAGGGGGCUAGCGUUGUUCGGAUUAACUGGGCGUAAAGGGCGCGUAGGCGGGUUUUUAAGUCUGAUGUGAAAGCCCCCGGCUCAACCGGGGAGGGUCAUUGGAAACUGGGAAACUUGAGUGCAGAAGAGGAGAGUGGAAUUCCACGUGUAGCGGUGAAAUGCGUAGAGAUGUGGAGGAACACCAGUGGCGAAGGCGACUCUCUGGUCUGUAACUGACGCUGAGGAGCGAAAGCGUGGGGAGCGAACAGGAUUAGAUACCCCCGUAGUCCCUGUCUCUUAUAC